GACGAACGCUGGCGGCGUGCUUAACACAUGCAAGUCGGACGGAAAGGCCCUGCUUUUGUGGGGUGCUCGAGUGGCGAACGGGUGAGUAACACGUGAGUAGCCUGCCCUUAACAUUGGGAUAUAUUCAGGAAACUGGGGCUAAUGCCGGAUAGGAGCUCCUGCUUCAUAGUGUAGGUGGGAAAGUUUCGGCGGUGGGGGAUGUACUGGCGGUUUAUCGGCUUGCUGGUGGGGUGGUGGCUAACCAGGGCUUGGACGGGUAGCCGGCCUGGGAGGGUGGGGCGCCCGAUGGGGAUGGAGAUACGGCCCAGACUCGUACGGGAGGCAGGGGAGGGGAAUAUUGCACAGUGGGCGGAGGCCUGAUGCAGCAACGCCGCGUGCGGGAAGACGGCCUUCGGGUUGUAAACCGCUUUCGCCUGUGACGAAGCGUGAGGGACGGUAAUGGGGAAAGAAGCACCGGCUAACUACGG
RNAcentral lists this ribosomal RNA (467 nucleotides) under uncultured bacterium. Its description in RNAcentral is "partial 16S ribosomal RNA". It matches the Rfam family "Bacterial small subunit ribosomal RNA", at positions 28 to 506 of the family's 1533-position model. The record is from RNAcentral.